This is a long non-coding RNA of Cuculus canorus (common cuckoo), 914 nucleotides long. RefSeq lists it as uncharacterized. The record is from RefSeq and is a predicted model, not a curated record. The transcript is spliced from 3 exons. Lineage: Eukaryota; Metazoa; Chordata; Aves; Cuculiformes; Cuculidae.
GGGGAUGGUUCUGCCCAUCGCUUCGCGUGUGACCUGCCAACAGCAAUCCCCAGGCUGCUUUGCUGAGAGCUUAUUUCUCAGUAAGACCCCAUCCACCAGCAGAAGGAUCCGUGUUUUUCUCCCUGUCUGCGUUGGAGUUGUCACAGUAGUUAAGUCCAGCUAUCCGUAAGAGCACAGGGGACACCCCCCCAAAUACCCCAGCCUGCAGAAAAGCACUGAAGACCAAAAGAAGCAAAACAAGAUAACAAAGCUGGUAACAGCAAUUGGAGGAGUGACUUCCAGGAUGGGGCUACAAAGAAUUGAGCAGCUCCAACUCCUGCAGUGGGACCUCUUGGCCCAGGCUGGGACUUGUGUGGCAUAAUGGAAUUGGCAUGAGGGUGGGCCGGUACCUCCUUCAGGGACAGAAGAGCCGAAAAGGAGACUUGCACGAGAUAAGGCAGCCCAUCACCCUGCACACUGCUGAGAGGGACGGCGGAGGGACUGGGUGAGGAUUGCUGGUUCAUCUCUGUGCUGGCUGCCAGGCUGGCUGCGGUGCUCACAAAUGAGGUCCAGAGGGUUCUGUGUCUUUCUUGCCCCAUUGCAGAGGUGAAAAGGCCCUUUUACAAGAGGGCAAACUGAGGCACAGAGAGUCCUGCCUGCCCCAGGUUAGCUUUCUGCACUGAAAGUGAUGCCCUUCUGUAAGCAAACACAGCUCUUCUCUCCCGCAUGCAUCCUCCGUGCUGGCCUCACUCGCUGCUCAGAGGGAGCACUGCGUUCCCCCAGCCUGGAUCCUUUGCUCCCAUGUAUUCUUCAAGAUCCAGCACAUCUCAGUCAGCCUCUUUAUUCACUGCUGGUCUCCCCAGGUGGGUUUGCCUACACAGCUCAUUCCUGCCGCGCAAGACCUCCACUAUUUCAGACCGUGACCCUCUGCAUCU